RNAcentral lists this ribosomal RNA (253 nucleotides) under uncultured bacterium. Its description in RNAcentral is "partial 16S ribosomal RNA". It matches the Rfam family "Bacterial small subunit ribosomal RNA", at positions 524 to 776 of the family's 1533-position model. The record is from RNAcentral.
UACGGAGGGUGCAAGCGUUGUCCGGAUUUAUUGGGUUUAAAGGGUGCGUAGGCGGUUUGUUAAGUCCGGGGUGAAAGCCCACUGCUCAACAGUGGAACUGCCCUGGAAACUGGCGGACUUGAGUACAGACGAGGGUGGCGGAAUGGAUGGUGUAGCGGUGAAAUGCAUAGAUACCAUCCAGAACCCCGAUUGCGAAGGCAGCUGCCUAGACUGUAACUGACGCUGAGGCACGAAAGCGUGGGGAGCGAACAGG